CACAGAUAUUUGUCACCAGAAUAUCUCCAAAAUGUCUCAGAAGACUUGAGUAUAAUUUGGUGGAGGAGAGCAAGAGUGUGUGUGUGUGUGUGUUCAUUUGGAUUCGUCCCUUCUUUGAUGUCACAGAGAUCUGAACAGUAGAUUUCCAGCUGUCUGUCUGUUUUUUCGUUUCUUCACUGAAUGCGAUCUCACUGCAACCUGUGUGUGUUUUUUAAACAUCUUCAUUGUUUGACAGUUUCAGGUAAAAACCAUCACGUUGCUUUCAGCUACUGAAAAAUGUAAAACUCCUUUUGAAACUUAAAAGUCACAGUGAAAUUAAAAAUAUUUCUUCAAGUAUACUGAUAUCUGUCAGUAAUUCAAAUAUUUUAAAGACUUUGUAUUCCAGCGGUGCACUUUUCUUUUGUAUCAAUGAAAUGAAAUGUGGUUUGAAGAAACCAGCAGUCAGCCACAGUCAUCAAAAAGUCCCACAUCACCCCAACAAAUUUAUUGGCUCGUCUUCAUUACAAGAAACUAGAGCCCAACUUAUAUGGAUGUUUGGGGAGCCAAUACUGAUACUAGGAAGUAAAAAUGUUACAGUAUCGAUAUAUCUGCUGAUAUAGACAUAAAAAUGGCAAGGAUUCCCAAAAUUUUGUUAUCAAACAAUGAAGAAAUGUCAUUGAUGUUUGAUAUUUUACAGUAUGAACAUCACCAGCCAACAUACGUCACGCUACCUUUACUCGAAUAGACAGCCGCUGUGCCACUCAGCAUUGGCAUAAAAUAGACUUUGGCCCCACCUGGUGGCAAAUCAACCACGUGUCUCUUGUUGGUGUAAAACACCCACUCUGAUUGAAAAUGAACGGCAGCUGGUUGCUUUGCCUCUGUCUCUUGUAGCUAAUGUGUCCCAAGGGGUGAUGGGGUCCCAACAAUAUUUAACAGUUGGGUAGCCCCCCCGCGCAUGCUGGAAAAACUGCAUAAUUACAGCCAAAGUGUUUUCUGUUAUGGUUAUUCAGUAAAAUAAAAGGUUUCAUGAUGUUAAAAAUAAUGCCGAUACUGAUGUUUGUGUAAGACUCAUAUCAGCUGGUAUUAUCAAACAAACAAAAUAAUGGUCAGGCUGUAAUGGAAACUCAUAUGGGCAAUAUUACCACCUCACAUUAUCGCGCUAAUUCUCAGCAACUGGUCAGUGGUUUUACUUCUUCUGAGGUGCUUUUGCUGCUGAACCCUGAACUAUCUGUCAUAACAAAUUAUAGAAAAGACAAUCCAUUCUAUGGACAUGAACUUUUCAGUUUUUAGUCUAGAACUGUUUGGUGGGUUUCAGAUUCAGUCAGACAUUAGUUUGUAUCUCUGCUACCAUGUUUUUCCCUUAAGUAUUUUGAAAGAGGGUACACAAUAAAUUUAUGGCCAUGAAUGAGGUCCUUUACUGCCCUCUGCUGGUUGUGACAAUUAUCCACUUUUACUAGUUCUUUUCCCUGUGAGAAAAAGAAUCAGAUUAUAAUUAGCUGAUUGCUUGUUUGCGCGCCUUCAUUUAAAAUAACUGUUCAUUCAGACCCACCCCAGUAUGUGUAAUUGUGACCACUAGGGUGCGCUAGCCUACAGGACAGUGUCUGUCACACUGUGGUUUUCUCUUUUUAACAGUAACUGCAACCAUUCACUUUGUUUUUGAUUGAAAUUAAAUUUGGUGAAUUCCUGCUUUUUCUACAGCCAAAAAAGUCUGCUGUGUCUGUGUGACAGUUAACAGCCAAUUAGCACCUGAGGUAUCAGCCAAUCAGCACCCAAGGUUCAGGUUUAGUCCAUUACCGCCAGGUGCUGGUUUUACAACAUGUUGUUAGAGACGCUGGAUGAUUGAAACUUCAUUUCAUGACUGUAUUUCAGGAUUUGCUGUGAUGAAGCAACAUGUAACUCUUCUGCGCCCCCUACACGUGUGGAGUAGAAUUGAAAAUUUAGGUGUGCAUUAAUCAUUGUGGGGAUUCUUUGUUGUUGUUGUUCGUUUUUUUACCCUACAACAUCUGAUAAAAUCAUAUUUUGAUUAUUUUAUUUGAACGUGCGUCACAAAACAACAGUACUUUUGCGCCAUCGUGUUUCACUGUGACUUUAAGCAGAUUUUGGAGGAACAUUUAAGGUCCUGGUCCAAGCUGUGAAUGAGUCCAUGUUGAACUCAGGAGGGGUUUGGAAAAGUCCAGAUUCUAAAAUACACACCCUCAAAGUAUAUCUUCUGCUUUUUGCCUUUUUUUUAAAUGCUGAUACCAAAAGCUGCUUCAUCACCUUCAAAACAAAACAUGGAUAAAAUUCACAGAAAUUGGGCGGUUUCAUUGCUCAUUAUUAUGACUAAUGUCACUAUUAUCCGUGUGAUAAAUGCAAUACAACAGUCAUGAAAACAGACACUGAGUGAUGUAUGUUAAUUUUUAUUUCAUUUUAUUUUUAUGGUCAUGUAUUUAGUUUUGAAGGCUUUCUCUCACUGGAUCAGUUCUGCCGUCGCCCCGUUUACACCACAGUUGUUUUAACAACAGUUGGGGAACGGAUCUUGUCAGCAUCAUAUCAGUAAUACACAAACUUCAUAUCCCCAGGAAGUUGCCUUUUCAGGAAACCAGCUCGCAUUAUUUAUUCUUGAUUAUUUAUUUAUUUAUUUAUAAUCUGGAUGCCUCACAGAUCUGCUUUCAUUAAUUUCAGUUUGCGAAAAUGAGGAAAAUGGAAACAUUUCUUCCAUAUUAAUUAAAUGUUAUUAUUGAUGUGACCUCAAAGGUUGUUGGUACUUGAAACCUUGUGAUGACAGAGUGACUUCUUGAAGGUCCCAAAGCUACUAAUUAUGUGUUCAUCGUGGAGUCAAUUUGUACGUCACGUGCAAAUAACGCAAUAUCAGACACGUCAAUUAGCCUAACGUUAACUGACAAACACACAAGAAACAUUAUUUACUCACACAAACCUCAUUAUUAAGCUAGUUACAUGCUACCAAGAAAAGUGGCUAGGGGAGCCAAUGCUAGGCCACUUAAUAUUCUAGCUAACUAAGUCGCUACCCAGGUAAUAGCAACGACUUAAGGAGAAUGUAUUUGUCUUAUAAAUGACUGCAAACAGUGGCCAUCUGUUUUUGGAACCUUUCAUACUUUGUAGAGAAGGAUUUAUAGAAUUGUAUUGCACAGCUAGCUAAUAUAUUAGCUUGUCUUUGGAUGCUGUUUGCUUCCGUCGCCUCAAAGGUUCAAUGACGUUUCAUUGACCAACGCUAAUUUAACAAAAAAAUAAAUAAACAAUAAUCUGUGCAAAUUACUAGAUCAAAUCCAGCAAUUCUGGUGAAUUACUUUAAAAUUUGUUGGAAUCAUAAUUAAAAGACGUGGAGGUGACAAAUUGCUAGUUCAGAUUAAUCAUCUUGUUAGUACAAUAUGAUGAUAAAACCAGUAAUUUGAAGAUGAAAAGUUUAGUGUUGGUGUUUUGCUGCAUAACGUUAAGAAUCGAUUUAAUUAAAAACCCAAAAAUAUGCAUCAAUAAACAAACAUGGAGGAUGUUUGAUUUUCCUGAUUUGUUGGAUCUUAACGUUAGUUUCAGAGCAACAUACUUAUUACAAUAAAAAUAAUAUAGAAGUCUGGAAUGAUGUGGUUUUCUCUGAAUCACUAUUCUUAAAAGGUAUACAAUUUAACUUUUAACUGAAUUGAAGUGUUGAGUCACUAAACUGUCACACGUAAAGUUCUCACGUUUUCCGGUGACUUCGGUGGUUUUCUGUUCACGGCGGAUGAACAUCCGCUGAUCGCUACGCAACUGUUGUUGAAAACCUUGGUGUAAAGGAGGUGAAAGUUGUGCCUCAGUGACCCCACCCUGGUGUUUUAGAGAUGACAAUAACCACAAUAAUAUGAAUAUAUACUUUUUAGUACUUUGAGUUGAAAUACUUUUUAGUAUUUUGCAAAUAUGUCUCUGUAUAUAAAAACAAAAGCCUCCUGUAAUAAAGAAGAAAAAUUUAAUA
Thalassophryne amazonica is the source of this 3922-nucleotide long non-coding RNA. RefSeq lists it as uncharacterized. The record is from RefSeq and is a predicted model, not a curated record. The transcript is spliced from 2 exons. NCBI's taxonomy places the organism in Eukaryota, Metazoa, Chordata, Actinopteri, Batrachoidiformes, Batrachoididae.